AAGCAAGGGAACCAGUUUGAGAGAGUUGCCACUGUCGAUAUCUUCGAAUCUGUACAUUUAUUAUAUCUCCAUCGGCAAUGGACUCAGCAGCACGGGCAAUCAUGCUCAUCCUUUUCAUCCCACUCUCAUCCUUACCAAUUGAACUUGGCCUAUAAUUAAUAUAAUUUUCCUGAAUAAGAAGAGGAACCAAAUCAGGAUCACUCAUGCUAAGGUCAAUCCGCUCAUCCAUUCUCAGCUUACCUCCAUUAAAGCCAAAAAGCUUAUCAACAGCUGUGAAUGGAGAAAUAUCUUCAUCCUUUGCACUGCUAAGAAGGCGUUGUCUGACAUCAUCAUACUUAAUGACUGACAUGGAGAGACUCAUAUAUUGCAAUUGAUUUAGUGCCAUGCGCAUAUCUCCAUUCACUCGUUCUGCAAGUUCCUCUAGAGCAAGGUCGUUAACUUGAAGGCCUUCUGCAUUUGCUACUUGCAUUAACCUCUUUGCCAUCUGUUGUUUUGUAGGUUUCCGGAAACUGAGAAGCAAGCAGUAGUUCACUAGACUUUUUAGUUUCUGACUAUAACGAUCAUUACAAAUGCAGACAAU
RNAcentral lists this unclassified non-coding RNA (580 nucleotides) under Hevea brasiliensis (rubber tree). Lineage: Eukaryota; Viridiplantae; Streptophyta; Magnoliopsida; Malpighiales; Euphorbiaceae. The record is from RNAcentral.